Cajanus cajan (pigeon pea) is the source of this 5520-nucleotide non-coding RNA. The record is from RefSeq and is a predicted model, not a curated record. NCBI's taxonomy places the organism in Eukaryota, Viridiplantae, Streptophyta, Magnoliopsida, Fabales, Fabaceae.
UACAGGAAAGGGCCAGGGACAAAAAAAAGUUGAAAAACAAGCUGGGAUCAAAAUCGAAAGAGAAGAAGGAUCACAAAAACCUUCGCAUUGGGUCCAAAAUACUAUACUCCUUCCUUCCUUCCAAAGUCACCCAGCCAAGAAGCCACACUCACAUUCUCACAACAACAAAAUCUCUCUCUCUCUCUCUCAAUCAUUUUCUCACUCUCUCAGAUUCUCUCUCUCCCCGCCAUUGCCAAUGCCGGCCUCUCCUGCUCCGCCGCCACCGCUCUAGCCGGAGAUUCCUCGCCGGAGAUUCUCGCGGCGGAUUUUUCUAGGGUUUUCUGACUGUUCGUUAUUCGUGCUCCGCUGCAUCGCGCCGUCAUGCCUCCGCCGCGCCGACGCGGAGCGAACAAGGCCAAGGCCAAUGGCAACUUGAGUUUGGGCGAUCUCGUGCUCGCUAAGGUUAAGGGAUUCCCGUUUUGGCCUGCCAAGAUAAGCAGGCCCGAAGAUCGGGAGAAAACCCCUGAUCCAAAGAAAUAUUUUGUUCAAUUUUAUGGGACCAAGGAAAUAGCUUUUGUUGCCCCUGCGGAUAUUCAGGCAUUCACCAUUGAGGCUAAAACUAAGUUGUCUGCUCGGUGUCAAGGAAAGACAAAAUACUUUACUAAAGCCGUGAAGGAAAUCUGCUCAGCAUUUGAGGAGUUGGAGAAACAGAAAGCUAGUGGUUUGAAAGAGGACACUGAUGAUUCACAUAUUGGUUCAAGAACUCCUUCCGUUGAUGGGGUAGUGGGUCACUUGAAGGAUGCUACUGAUGCUGUGGUAUUCAACAUUGAAAAUGCUAACACAUGUGUGGGAGAUGUUGGCUCUAAUUUGGAGCAAAGUACACAGAGAUUUGAACAAAGUGGUAACCAAGUUGAAAAGCCUUCUGUAUCUGGCCAUCCAAAUGACAGUUCAUCUCCAGUCUUGUUGCCAGUGAUUGAAAUUAAACCAUCAAUUGGUGCAGCAGAACUUAAUAAGUGUACUAGCAAAUCUGACCUGGACGAACAAUCAUGUCUGAAAGUGGAAGUUUCUAAUAUUAAGGAUGUUGGCAAUGUUCAUGACUUAAAGCAAGCUGAUAAUGAACAGAGUGUUUAUACAAAUGGGAACAGGUCAAGAAAGCUUGUUACUGGCUCAAAGAGAAGCAAAGGUGCAGAUGAUAGAAAAAGAAGCGGUGAAAUUAGUAGAGUAUCUUCAAAGGAUGAAAAUUGUGCAGUUUAUACUAGUCUUUCCAGGUCUGGAGAGACAGUGAAAGAUGGGAAAAAAGAGAAAAAUGCAUUUUCUGUUAAAUCAAAUUCUGCAGAUGCUCUUAAAUCAGACUCUGAUAUUAACAGGGUAAGUAAAGAAAAGAACUUUCUGAAAGUUAAAACUAGUCUUAAAGUUAAAAAUGAGUUGCAGGAGAGCUUUGUUGGUUCUGAGGAUGAGAGAAAAAAAUCUUUUAAGCAAAACAAAAAUCAACUUCAUGGAAAACGUAAUUUGGGAACAAAUGAAACUUUACAUGCUACCAAGAAGUUGAAGUGUAUGGAUAUCAAAGACAAUAAAACUUUAAAAUCUCUCUCGGAAGGUGGGAAGAGUGAUUCACCUAGCUCUCCUGUUGUUGAUGACAAAGAAUUCAAACAAAUAGAGUUGAAAAGGUCUACAUCACGAUUGAAAACAGAGAAAGGUUUGCCAUCAAGGGUUCAGACUAGUGUUGUAGGUUCUGAUGAUUCUGUUUGUGACCAGCAAGCUAUGCCUGAUUCUACUAGCAUUGCUUGUGAACAAACACAAAUGAGUUCUCUUAGACUGAAAGGUGACACAAAUAAUCUUACAAUUAAACAAGUACAGAGGAGACGUAGAGCUGUUUGCCUUGUUGAUUAUGAUGAUGAUGAUGACCACAAUUCUCCUGUUCACAGAGGAGCUGCUGAAGAUAUUAAAUCUCCUUUUGUUUCAGAGGUUUUGAAGAACAAUGAUGCAUUCCUAGAGAACACUGAUGCUGCUCAGUUGGAUACCAGAAAACCUAGUGCACUUGAGGAUAGCCAUUUUAAAGAACCCUCUUCUGAAUUAUGUAAUGACAAUUUGCAAGUUGGACAUCCUCAAAAAGAGGCUGAAGAAGUUAUUCCUUUCCAUUUACCUCAUAGUCCUAGGAAAUUAGAUUCAAAGCUAUUUUCUCCAAAGGUGGAAAAAUUGAGCUCCACCUCUCUGGUAGAUUCACCUCAUUCAGUUCCUACAACAAAGUCAAAUGCUGAGCAACAUAAAUUUUCCAAACGUAUGCUUCAAGUUUCCAGUAAUUCUACUCAAAAGAAGGCUGAUAAUGGAUCUUCAAAGAAUGUAAAUAGCAUCAGCUCUUCACAGUGUCAGGUCACUACUCAUAAAAAGAAGCCUGCAUCUUCAGGGGAAACUUCUAAAACCACUCCAAAGACAUUACCACUGGAAGUUGAAUUUCCUGCUAAAACAGAAAAUUUAAAGGAAUUUGAUGUUUUUUGUGUUCAUAGAAUUGAGGUGGGCACAGAAGAAGAAAAUAGUCUGUAUACUGUUUCUAGGACUCCAGAAACUCCGAAGACUAUGAAGCAUCUUAUUGCGGCUGCCCAGGCGAAAAGGAGACAAGUAGCUCAAUCUCAAUGUCAUCCUCUUGAUCUUUACAAUACUCAAGGGGGAACUCCUAGCCCCUCUACAGUUCAGCCAUUUCUAUCCGUCUCCAGCAAUUUUGGCCAGGCAGAUUGGCCAAUUGUUCAUGAACACCCAACAUUGGCUUCUCCAUCAACUAAUGGGUAUCAUUCCACUUCUCAAAGUCAACUUGAUGAUGAAGAAAACGAAGAGAAAAGAGUUAAUUCAGUGCAAAGGGCUGUAGAGGGCUCUCUGAGUGGUGGUACUGAGGCUGCUGUUGCUCGUGAUGCCUUUGAAGGAAUGAUAGAGACUUUGUCUAGGACCAAGGAAAGUAUUGGGCGUGCAACACGUCUUGCCAUUGAUUGUGCCAAAUAUGGCAUUGCCAAUGAGGUUGUUGAACUUCUUAUCCGAAAGCUGGAGAUUGAAACUAGUUUUCAUCGUAAAGUGGAUUUAUUUUUUCUUGUUGAUUCCAUCACCCAAUGCUCACAUAAUCAAAAAGGCAUUGCGGGAGCCUCCUACAUCCCUACCGUUCAAGGAGGGCUGUCACGACUUCUUGGUGCGGCUGCUCCCCCAGGGGUUAGUGCUCGUGAAAAUCGUCGUCAAUGUCUCAAGGUUUUAAGGCUGUGGCUCGAGAGGAAAAUUUUUCCUGAAUCAGUUCUUCGCCGUUACAUGGAUGAAAUUGGAGUUUCAAAUGAUGAUAUGACAGUUAGUUUUUCUUUCAGGCGUCCUUCCCGAGCAGAACGGUCUUUGGAUGACCCAAUUAGAGAAAUGGAAGGCAUGCUUGUUGAUGAGUAUGGAAGUAAUGCUUCAUUUCAGCUGCCUGGAUUGUUAUCUUCUCUGGUGUUUGAAGAAGAUGAAGAUGAUGAUUUUCUGAAUAAUGCAUCUCCAGCAGAUCCCACUCGCACUGUUGUGGAUUCAGAAACUUCAACAGUUACCCCAACUGACAAGCGCCAUUGUAUCUUGGAGGAUGUGGACGGUGAGCUGGAAAUGGAAGAUGUUUCAGUUCACCUAAAGGAUGAAAGACCUGUAUUAUUGAACAGUCCUUCUGAAAUGGAUUCUCAACUUCAGGGCUUAGAUAGGAUUUUGGAUCCAGCUUCAGACAUUUCUGCCGAGAUACCUGAUAUUCUUGAGGGUUCUCCUCCAUUGCCACUUGGUUCACCCCCUUCUCUCCCGCCUUUGCCUUCUUCACCUCCACCACCACUACCUCCAUUAUCUCCAUCGCCUCCCCCUCCCCCACCACCCCAAGUGUUGCAACACCCACCUCCUCCUUUGCCAGCCCCAGGCCCUCCACCUUCACUGAUUCCUCAAUCAUCUGGACCUGUUCAGCCUCCACUUUUAUCCCAGACAUUAGUUCCACCUCAAUCAUUGCAUCAGUCAUCACCAUUGUCAGGGUAUCAGCAGAGUGUACCUCAUGAUUUUAGUGGCUCAACUAAUGGCAACCAAAUAGUUCAAGUGGCUGUAAAUUCUUUUCCUGGAGGUCACAAUAGUUCAGUGGUCAAGAAUGAAAUAUUGCAACAACCAUCUGCUUGCUUUACUCCAAUGGCAGGCUGCAACUCUCAGGAACCUUCUGGUUUUAACCCUCCAAGGCAGUUGGAAUAUGGACAAAAGGAUAUGUAUCUAAAUUCUCAAGGUCCUCAACCUAAUCUGCAAUUUCAGCCGGUUAACCCAUCAUUUGCUCCAAGGCACAUGCAUCCUGCCCCACCCCAAAAUCCAUCCAAUCAAUAUUCUUAUCCAAAGCCUACAAUUCAGCAGCAGCUUCCACAUUCUUUCCAUCCUCCAUUCUCAUUGCCAUCACUUCCAGAUGGCCAGAGGCAAUUUGUUGCUAAUGAGCAAUGGAGGAUGUCAACAAGUGAAUUUAAAACAAACCAUCAACAGGGUCUAAGGAUAGGGAGAAAUCCUUCAUACCCUGGUACUCCCUUUGCACAGGAAGGUUAUUUUCGGCCACCACUUGAAAGACCACCAAUAAACAAUGUAGGUUUCCAGCAUGCAAACCCUAGCAGCAUGCCUGCUCCUCCUAUGACAGGACAUGGUGUUCCUCAAAUGUUGUCUUGUAGGCCAGAUAUUCCUGCACUUAGUUGUUGGAGGCCUACUUGAUGCUGAUAGAAAUAUUUUCCAUUUCAUCUGAACAAUUGGUGGUGCUGUCGCUGGUUGAUCAACUAUCAAGGUUACACAUUGUGGUUUGAAGUUAGAUUCUCUUGUCCCCAAUUUUUUUUGAAAACUUGUGGAGGCUUUUGGCAGGACUGUGUACAUUAUAAUUUUUCCUGACAAUGUAUCCCAAGAACAUUUGCUUCCAAGUUUAGGCCCUUGUUUCUGACUUGGUUUUUGCGUAAGCAAAUACGGAGUUCCUUAUUACUUUCUCAUGUUUUCAAAGUGGUUACUGAACAAAUAAUAAGUCAUUUUCCAUCAGAGAAAACACAAUAUUGUGGCCUAUGUCACGUGAUCAAUUCAUUAUUUCAAGUCACAUUGCUUUAUUAUCGUAGUAUCUCAUUGCGAGGGAAGAUAGGAGUGUUAGUAUCUGAUUGUCGAACAUCAUCUCAAAAUUGCAAGAGGGCUUCCUUAUAUUUGAAGAAUGAUUUCUAAACUUCAAGAAAGAAAGCCUGAGGAUUAUUAGUCUCUUUUGGCAAAAUCUCGUCUUUUUCCUAGGCAUAUUUGAAAUUGAAUGCGAGCAUUGGCUCCCGGUGGUACGGGUUUUUUUUGGAAGGCGACAAUUUUAUUAAAUAAAGUCAAUUGCGCACAAGAAGUGCCAAUUGAGAUAAGUACAAUAAUAUCAUUGAAUCCACGUUCAAGUUCAAGGUAGAAGCUAACAGAGCAACAGAGUUAAUCUAUAUGUUUGUUACAAUACUGCAAUUUGCUGUGAGUGGAUCUAUGUAUUUACUAUGAUUUUAUAAUCUGUCACAGAGGGAGACUCUCGUUAUUCUUUGUAGU